CCUACGGGAUGCAGCAGUGGGGGAUAUUGGACAAUGGGGGGAACCCUGAUCCAGCGACGCCGCGUGAGUGAAGAAGUAUUUCGGGAUGUAAAGCUCUGUCGGCCGGGAAGAAAGAAAUGACGGUACCUGACCAAGAAGCCCCGGCUAACUACGUGCCAGCAGCCGCGGUAAUACGUCGGGGGCAAGCGUUAUCCGGACGUACUGGGUGUAAAGGUGGCGUAGACGGUCAAGUAAGUCUGGCAUGAAAGGCCGAGGCCCAACCCCGGGACGUCUCUGGAAACUAUUGAACUUGAGUGCAGGAGAGGUAAGCGGAAUUCCUAGUGUAGCGGUGAAAUGCGUAGAUAUUAGGAGGAACACCAGGGGCGAAGGCGGCUUACUGGACUGUAACUGACGUUGAGGCUCGAAAGCGUGGGGAGCAAACAGGAUUAGAUACCCGAGUAGUC
RNAcentral lists this ribosomal RNA (443 nucleotides) under uncultured bacterium. Its description in RNAcentral is "partial 16S ribosomal RNA". It matches the Rfam family "Bacterial small subunit ribosomal RNA", at positions 338 to 795 of the family's 1533-position model. The record is from RNAcentral.